CAAUAGCGUAUAUUAAAGUUGUUGCAGUUAAAAAGCUCGUAGUUGAAUUUCUGGUCAUUUUUAGUCUUGGCUUCGGUCGGGCUAGAGGUGGCCAUCCGUCUGCAAGCUAUUCUCGGCCUUCAUUGGUUCGGAUUAGCGAGCUGACAUUUUACUUUGAAAAAUUAGAGUGUUUCAGGCAGGCUUUUGCCCGAAUACAUUAGCAUGGAAUAAUGGAAUUGGACUCUGGUCCAUUUGGUUGGUUAUUGGAUCUGAGUAAUGGUUAAUAGGGACAGUUGGGGGCGAUUAGUAUUUAAUUGUCAGAGGUGAAAUUCUUGGAUUUAUUAAAGACUAACUUAUGCGAAAGACAUUUGUCCAAGGAUGUUUUCUAUUAAUUCAAGAACGAAAGUUAAGGGGAGUC
Molecule: ribosomal RNA, 397 nt
Filed under: uncultured eukaryote
Lineage: Eukaryota
Description: SSU rRNA
Rfam family: Eukaryotic small subunit ribosomal RNA
Source: RNAcentral